This is a long non-coding RNA of Corythoichthys intestinalis (scribbled pipefish), 3210 nucleotides long. RefSeq lists it as uncharacterized. NCBI's taxonomy places the organism in Eukaryota, Metazoa, Chordata, Actinopteri, Syngnathiformes, Syngnathidae. The transcript is spliced from 2 exons. The record is from RefSeq and is a predicted model, not a curated record.
UGUUUUACAGUCACUGGCAAUCCUUUUGGCUUAAUCCUUUAUAGAGCGCUCAUAUAACACAUUGGCUCCAGCCUCCCAAUUGGACGUCUAUCAUUGUCAUACAAGGAGUUAAAUACAGAGGUGGGUACUAAUGCGUUACAUUUACCUAGUUACAAUUACUUGAGUAACUUUUUGAGAAAAAAAAUUUACUUCUUAGCAAGUGCGUAGAUUUGCAUAGGGACGGUAGGGACAUGACACUACCAACUUUUCAGGACGCUCAAAUUGUCCCCACCAACUUUUAAGCAACCUUAUUCGUAUUAUAUCGUGAGUUCAGCUAUAUAGGUAAUUUAGAUUGUCUUUCCAUAUGUUGUAUGGAUAGAAUUGACCCUACCAUUAUUAAGUGAAUUACUUUCAUUAUGUUCAGGCUGAUAUUUUUCCCUUUUCACUUUCUGAAUGUGCCAGUCCAUUUUUUUUCCUCAAAACACACGCUUACUGGCUGAUGACAGGACCCCCCCCCCCACACGCACUUACAGCCCAGACAGAAAUACAACAUGUCGACCGCCCCUUUCGAAGACGAGGGAUAUUAGAAUUUUAUUUCAGCCAGCAACAACAGCAGCAGCAGCAGCAGCAGCAACCACUGUGGCGGGGGCAGCAGCUUUAGCAGGGAAGCCCAGACUUCCCUCUCCCCAGCCACUUCAACCAACUCCUCUGGCGGGAUCCCAAGGCGUUCCUAGGCCAGCCGAUAGAUAUGGUCUCUCCAGUGUGUCCUGGUUUGUCCCUGGGGCCUCCCACCAGUGGGACAUGCUUAAAACACCUCGUAAGUGAGGCGUCCAAAACAGUGGCUACCUCAGCUGGCUUCUUUCAACGCGGAGGAGUAGCGGCUCGACCCUGAGUCCGUCCCGGAUGACCGAGCUUCUCACCUCAUCUCUAAGGGAUUUUGGCCGCUUGUAUCCAUCUUGACUAUAUGUGAGGGUAGGAACGUACAGCGACUGGUAAAUCGAUUCAACUUUUGGCUCAGCUCCUUCCUCACCACAAGGUACCGGUGUGGAGUCGGCACUGCUGCAGACACUGCACCAAUCCGCCUAUCGAUCUCCAGCUCCCUCCUGCACGCAUUUAUGAACAAGACCCCAAGAUACAGAAACUCCUCCACUAGGAUGAGGAUCUCAUCCCCGACCCGAAGAGAGCACACCACCCUUUUCUGACUGAGGACCUUGGUCUCGGAUUUGGAGGUGCUGAUCUUCAUCCGAAUUGCCUCAAACUCGGCUGCGAACCGCUCCAGUGAGAGUUGAAGUUCACGGCUUGAUGAAGUGAGCAGCACCAAAUCAUCUGCAAAAAGCAGAGAUGUAAUGCUGGUACCACCAAACUGGACACCCUCAAUGCUUCGGCUACGCCUACAUGUUCUGUCUAUAAAAGUUAUGAUCAGAAUCGUUGGCGGAGUCCAACCCUCACUGAGAACAAAUUCGACUUACUGCUGGCAAUGCGGACCAGACUCUGACACCGGUCUUACAGGGACCGAACAGCUCUUACCAAGGAGUUCGGUACCCGGUACGCCUAAAGCACCCCCCACACCACUCCCCAAGGGACAAGGUCGUACGCCUUUUCCAAAUCCACAAAAAACGUAGACUGUUUGACGAACUUCCAUGCAUCCUCAAGGACCCUGUAGAGCUAGUCCACUGCUACACGACCGGGGCAAAAACCACUGUACCUCCUGAAUCCGAGAUUCGACUUCCUGACGGACCUACAGCACCAGAGGAUCUGUGUUGGAACUUAUUCAAAUUUGUGUUGAUUCGAUUCAACACUUCACAAGCUUAAAAUGUGAUUAAUUUUGAACACAACCACAUUCCCAGUAACUAGUAAGUUUCAGAUUUCUACUACUGCUCGAUUUUUUUUUCCCAAGUGGUUCAUACAGGUUAUUGGUCAUAUUAAUAGUUGGAAAAUGUUUUUAAAUUAUUUUUAUAUUAUAUAUAUAUCAUUUUUACUUGGCAUUAUGACAGGGAUGUGCAAACUUUUCAUAUUCACUGUAGGAUAAUGAGAAGCAAACAAGUACAGUAAUUGUGUUCUUUAAAUUAGGGUUUCGUUGUUCCUGGCAAUGUAUGCCCAACUUUCUCAAAUUCCAAAACGAUUGAUCAUUUUAGGUCUAACAAUGAAUUAUACUGUAAUUCAUAAAUUUGUGUAAUUAAGCAUAUACUGUAGAUAAAAGAAUUACUCCUAAUAUUUGUUCCUGCACUGCAGUGCAGUCUCCAUGUUCAUCAGACCUACGUGUUGCUUUCUUUGGAAACUGUGCUCAGCCUUUUCCGAUGUAAUGACAGUCAACAACAAAAAAAUUCCAACAUGACAAAUGAAAUUUCAACAGCUUUUUAUUCUUCCCCAUUUUUAACAAUUACAAUCAAAAUAAAGGAUAUUUUCACCCAUUGCGUAUAUCCAUGUGACGUAUAGAUGACUAUACAUUAUGACUUCUGGACAAGCUUGUCUUUUUUUCCCGCAAAAGGUUGAGGCAAACGAUACAGGUUAUACAGUAACACAGAGUACAAAUCAUUGCAUGGGGUAGUAUGAGCAAAAACACAGCACAACUUGAAAGAGAAAAGACAACAGGAGGACAAUAAAAUUACAUACAAUAGACAAAAUAUUAAACCAAUAUAAUAGAAAAUAAUAUUAAUAAAAAUAGUGACCACAGUAUACAAGUGAUCAAGACAACUUUACAUUUAUACAUAGUGGCCAGAGGCAGGCACCAGGCAGUCAAACUGUAGAAUAGAUUGUGAUUUACUGUAGAUUUAGCGCUGCUGCUUGAGUUCAGUUCACAGCGUGCUUGAUAAGUCAUCAGCCAAUGCCUGGACAAGCAGAGACGGCACAAUAAAAGAGGCACCUUAUGAGGAGGAAAUUGGGAGCAGCUUUGCUGGUUUGAGUUUAGUCAUAUUUCUUUUAUUAGACACCUACAAUUUAGGGUGUAUCCAUUCUGUCAAACGAGUGGCUAACAAGGCUCUCCUUGUGCUUGUCAGCAUUGUACCACCGUAUAGCCUUGAUCGAUAUGACAAUUGGAGCGUUUUUGGAGUUGUAAAGAUCAAAUAAGUUCAUCUAUUCAUUCAAAAAGGUGUUUUUUUUAAUUGCUUGAAAUUUUUGAGGCAUUUACUUUUAUCUUAAAAAUUUAGUACGUAAAAGUUGAAGACUUCUGCAUUCGACAGAUUUUUUUGUGUGUUUUUGCCACAUUUUCUUUUAAAAUAUAUACCUCAUAUA